CAUCUUACGAGGCAGCAUUGGAUUUCAUUACUUUUUCUAAUACUGCCUGGUAAUGAUGAU
RNAcentral lists this microRNA precursor (60 nucleotides) under Danio rerio (zebrafish). RNAcentral's name for it is "Dre-Mir-8-P1a_pre stem-loop". It matches the Rfam family "mir-8/mir-141/mir-200 microRNA precursor family", at positions 6 to 67 of the family's 72-position model. From Rfam's summary of the family: The bounds of the precursors are predicted based on conservation and base pairing and are not generally known. RNAcentral also lists the same sequence under 1 other name. Lineage: Eukaryota; Metazoa; Chordata; Actinopteri; Cypriniformes; Danionidae. The record is from RNAcentral.